GCUCAGGACGAACGCUGGCGGCGUGCCUAAUACAUGCAAGUCGAGCGGACCGACGGGAGCUUGCUCCCUUAGGUCAGCGGCGGACGGGUGAGUAACACGUGGGUAACCUGCCUGUAAGACUGGGAUAACUCCGGGAAACCGGGGCUAAUACCGGAUGCUUGAUUGAACCGCAUGGUUCAAUCAUAAAAGGUGGCUUUUAGCUACCACUUACAGAUGGACCCGCGGCGCAUUAGCUAGUUGGUGAGGUAACGGCUCACCAAGGCGACGAUGCGUAGCCGACCUGAGAGGGUGAUCGGCCACACUGGGACUGAGACACGGCCCAGACUCCUACGGGAGGCAGCAGUAGGGAAUCUUCCGCAAUGGACGAAAGUCUGACGGAGCAACGCCGCGUGAGUGAUGAAGGUUUUCGGAUCGUAAAACUCUGUUGUUAGGGAAGAACAAGUACCGUUCGAAUAGGGCGGCACCUUGACGGUACCUAACCAGAAAGCCACGGCUAACUACGUGCCAGCAGCCGCGGUAAUACGUAGGUGGCAAGCGUUGUCCGGAAUUAUUGGGCGUAAAGCGCGCGCAGGCGGUUUCUUAAGUCUGAUGUGAAAGCCCCCGGCUCAACCGGGGAGGGUCAUUGGAAACUGGGGAACUUGAGUGCAGAAGAGGAGAGUGGAAUUCCACGUGUAGCGGUGAAAUGCGUAGAGAUGUGGAGGAACACCAGUGGCGAAGGCGACUCUCUGGUCUGUAAACUGACGCUGAGGCGCGAAAGCGUGGGGAGCGAACAGGAUUAGAUACCCUGGUAGUCCACGCCGUAAACGAUGAGUGCUAAGUGUUAGAGGGUUUCCGCCCUUUAGUGCUGCAGCAAACGCAUUAAGCACUCCGCCUGGGGAGUACGGUCGCAAGACUGAAACUCAAAGGAAUUGACGGGGGCCCGCACAAGCGGUGGAGCAUGUGGUUUAAUUCGAAGCAACGCGAAGAACCUUACCAGGUCUUGACAUCCUCUGACAACCCUAGAGAUAGGGCUUCCCCUUCGGGGGCAGAGUGACAGGUGGUGCAUGGUUGUCGUCAGCUCGUGUCGUGAGAUGUUGGGUUAAGUCCCGCAACGAGCGCAACCCUUGAUCUUAGUUGCCAGCAUUCAGUUGGGCACUCUAAGGUGACUGCCGGUGACAAACCGGAGGAAGGUGGGGAUGACGUCAAAUCAUCAUGCCCCUUAUGACCUGGGCUACACACGUGCUACAAUGGGCAGAACAAAGGGCAGCGAAGCCGCGAGGCUAAGCCAAUCCCACAAAUCUGUUCUCAGUUCGGAUCGCAGUCUGCAACUCGACUGCGUGAAGCUGGAAUCGCUAGUAAUCGCGGAUCAGCAUGCCGCGGUGGAAUACGUUCCCGGGCCUUGUACACACCGCCCGUCACACCACGAGAGUUUGUAACACCCGAAGUCGGUGAGGUAACCUUUUGGAGCCAGCCGCCGAAGGUGGGACAGAUGAUUGGGUGA
RNAcentral lists this ribosomal RNA (1480 nucleotides) under Bacillus licheniformis. RNAcentral's name for it is "bacterial SSU rRNA". It matches the Rfam family "Bacterial small subunit ribosomal RNA". The record is from RNAcentral. Lineage: Bacteria; Bacillati; Bacillota; Bacilli; Caryophanales; Bacillaceae.